GAUGAACGCUAGCUACAGGCUUAACACAUGCAAGUCGAGGGGUAACGAGAGGAAAGCUUGCUUUCCUUGUCGACGACCGGCGCACGGGUGAGUAACGCGUAUCCAACCUGCCCCCAACUAGGGAAUAACCUUGCGAAAGUAAGACUAAUACCCUAUAAUUUCCUCAGAUGGCAUCACCGAAACGCUAAAGAUUUAUCGGACGAGGAUGAGCAUGCGUCCUAUUAGCUAGAUGGCGGGGUAACGGCCCACCAUGGCGACGAUAGGUAGGGGUUCUGAGAGGAAGGUCCCCCACGCUGGUACUGGGACACGGACCAGACUCCUACGGGAGGCAGCAGUGAGGAAUAUUGGUCAAUGGGCGAGAGCCUGAACCAGCCAUGCCGCGUGCAGGAUGACGGCCCUACGGGUUGUAAACUGCUUUUAUCAGAGGGCAAACCCCUCCUUGCGAGGAGGGUUGAGAGUAUCUGAAGAAUAAGGAUCGGCUAACUCCGUGCCAGCAGCCGCAGUAA
RNAcentral lists this ribosomal RNA (506 nucleotides) under uncultured bacterium. Its description in RNAcentral is "partial 16S ribosomal RNA". It matches the Rfam family "Bacterial small subunit ribosomal RNA", at positions 28 to 523 of the family's 1533-position model. The record is from RNAcentral.